GGAAUUCGAUUACCGCGAAGAACCUUACCAAGGCUUGACAUACACCGGAAACUUCCAGAGAUGGUUGCCCCGCAAGGUCGGUGUACAGGUGGUGCAUGGUUGUCGUCAGCUCGUGUCGUGAGAUGUUGGGUUAAGUCCCGCAACGAGCGCAACCCUCGUCUUAUGUUGCCAGCACGUUAUGGUGGGGACUCAUAAGAGACUGCCGGGGUCAACCCGGAGGAAGGUGGGGAUGACGUCAAAUCAUCAUGCCCCUUAUGUCUUGGGCUUCACGCAUGCUACAAUGGCCGGUACAAAGGGCUGCGAUACCGCGAGGUGGAGCGAAUCCCAAAAAGCCGGUCUCAGUUCGGAUUGGGGUCUGCAACUCGACCCCAUGAAGUCGGAGUCGCUAGUAAUCGCAGAUCAGCAACGCUGCGGUGAAUACGUUCCCGGGCCUUGUACACACCG
RNAcentral lists this ribosomal RNA (444 nucleotides) under Oerskovia sp. MP7. RNAcentral describes it as "bacterial SSU rRNA". It matches the Rfam family "Bacterial small subunit ribosomal RNA", at positions 946 to 1392 of the family's 1533-position model. The record is from RNAcentral. Lineage: Bacteria; Bacillati; Actinomycetota; Actinomycetes; Micrococcales; Cellulomonadaceae.